UACACUCCUGCGGGAGGCAGCAGUGGGGAAUUUUGGACAAUGGGCGAAAGCCUGAUCCAGCAAUGCCGCGUGUGUGAAGAAGGCCUUCGGGUUGUAAAGCACUUUUGUCCGGAAAGAAAUCCUUGGCUCUAAUACAGUCGGGGGAUGACGGUACCGGAAGAAUAAGCACCGGCUAACUACGUGCCAGCAGCCGCGGUAAUACGUAGGGUGCGAGCGUUAAUCGGAAUUACUGGGCGUAAAGCGUGCGCAGGCGGUUUGCUAAGACCGAUGUGAAAUCCCCGGGCUCAACCUGGGAACUGCAUUGGUGACUGGCAGGCUAGAGUAUGGCAGAGGGGGGUAGAAUUCCACGUGUAGCAGUGAAAUGCGUAGAGAUGUGGAGGAAUACCGAUGGCGAAGGCAGCCCCCUGGGCCAAUACUGACGCUCAUGCACGAAAGCGUGGGGAGCAAACAGGAUUAGAAACCCCAGUAGUCCCAUG
This 476-nucleotide ribosomal RNA is filed under the name uncultured organism. RNAcentral describes it as "partial 16S ribosomal RNA". It matches the Rfam family "Bacterial small subunit ribosomal RNA", at positions 332 to 799 of the family's 1533-position model. The record is from RNAcentral.